AUCCUUUAACAAUUCUUAUGUGUUGUGUUCUCAGGAAAACAUCGAUGUCUGAUUGUGACAUCCCCAAAAUCACGGCCAGAAAAGACCGAUUUUGUUUAUGCUUUAUGAAAAUCAGAGUACUUCGUUUUAUAAAAAGGUUGCGGAAUGUGUUCCUAGAAAAACAUGGUAAAUACGUUAUUAAAACAUUUUCGAGGAAACGUAUUUAUUUCAUUUUAAAACGUUUGGGAUGUCAUCGUUAAUACCGAAACAUAAGCAUAAACAGAACUUACAAUGAUUUACACUAGUGAUCUACAUCUCUUUAAAUCUCUCAGUGUAAUGUCACUUCACUUCGUCACCUGUGAUAUACAUAAACUGAGUGGGUCAGGUUGGGAAACCUGGUGAGUACAUAGGGUUUUCAACCCACGAUAAUAUAAUUGUUAUGUUUAAUCAUCAAACAAUUAACCCCAUUACCCAUCCCCGUUAUCUUCUUUACUCUUAAGGAUUUAACCUAAGAGUCGUCUAUCCUGCAUUCGUUUAUUCCGAAGUCCCUUACUUCCAGGGUUAUAGGACUGGCACUAAAUCCAUAGCUGCCAAUGUUCGUUCAUAAAGCACUAAUUCCAUAGCUGCUAUAGUCUAUUCAUCGGGUACUAAAUCCAUAGCUACCAGUCUUUAUCUAAUAGGUACUAAGUCCAUAGCUACCAAUGUUCAACAGGUACUAAAUCCUUAGCUACCAGCGUCUAACUAAUAGGUACUAAGUCCAUAGCUACCAAUUCCCAACAGGCACUAAAUCCAUAGCUACCAACGUCUAAAAGGUACUAAGUCCAUAGCUACCGGUGUUUGUCCCAUAGGCACUAAGUCUAUAGCUGCCAAUGUAUACUCACGUCAUCUUCUAUCUCUCAUCAUUCAUCUACCCAUCUCAUACCCAACAUUUUCGUAUAUAUAAAAUACGUAUACAGUUUAAGUCCUUUAAAACAUGUAUAAAACGUUCAACCAGCAUAGACAGCAAGUAUUCAGAUAAUGUGCACACAUAGCACGUAGUUUAUAUAAAAUACUUCAUAUCUAUGUGUAAGAUGAAAGGGACUAUGCACUCACCUGAAAGGUGGUGAGUCGGCACUCGGACAGCACUUCGUUACUCUUAAAACAAUUAUCCCUUGACGAAACCUAGUAUCAUUACCACUAGAGUUUAGUCUAACGCUUGACGAGACUAAUUUAAUAGUCUAGCUAUUAUUACUAUUAUAUAAGCGUUAAAUAACACUCAAUAUAACUCAUAAUAAUAGCCUAAAUAAUUAUUUUAAGGUCCUAACAAUGUUACUAUAAUUAAAUAAAAUCUAUAUUAAAUAUACUAUAGGCGUAGCUCACUUACAGCGGGUUUUUAUUAAAAACCGGGCUUCGCUGGAGCAGCGUUUCCGAGCCGAAAGCUUUUCUUCUCGGAGCCGUCGGGCGCUCCGGGGCUUUCUUCUCGUGAUAGGGAGGUUCCCUAGACUUGGGAGGGGUUUAGGGAGGCUAGAGAGAAGUUAGAGAGAGAAAGAAAGGCUUAUGGUGUGAAGAAAAUAUGAGGAGUUCACCCUUGUAUUUAUAGGAAGUGUAUAGUAAAGUAGUCUCCAAGCUUCGUCCGUAACUUUUGCAUACGAGCUCCGUUUUUGUCUGUCUUUUUACUGUUGAGUUCCUAUUAAUGAGAUCUUCAACUUUCAUUUAGACCUCGUUGGCUAAUUCUCAUUCUAUCUCGGAUUUACAAAACUGUAUCAAAUUCGCCGCGCUCGAAAAGUAGGGACUAAGCUUCGUCCAUAACUUUCGCAUACGAGCUCCAUUUUUGUCUGUCUUUUUACCGUUGAGUUCCUAUUAAUGAGAUCUUCAACUCUCAUUUAGACCUCGUUGGCUAAUUCUCAUUCUAUCUCGUAUUUACAAAACUGUAUCGAAUUCGCCGCGCUCGAAAAGUAGGGACUAAGCUUCGUCCAUAACUUUUGCAUACGAGCUCUAUUAUCGACGUUCUUUAUAUCCACGCGUUGGUAUUUACGAGUACUACAACUUUCAUUUAGAUCCCGUCGGCUAAAAAUCGACCGAUCUAAAAUUCAGAUUUCGGGCUGUGCACUGCUAUGCUAAAUCUUAGAAAAAUCAUAACUUCCUCAUACGAAGUCAGAUUUGGGCGUUCUUUUUAUCGAUGUUCUUAGUUUAACAUAUUCUACGACUUUCGUUUAGAUCGCUAAGGCUAAAUCUCGCUCUAUCGUAAAUUCACUAUUUACGCUUCCCGGUAUCGUGCCGGUUCCGUCGCGAAACUUCAACGGGUCAUAACUUCUUCGUUAUAACUCGGUUUUCGGCGUUCUUUAUAUGUACGAAAACCUUGUAACAUACUCUACAACUUGGUUAAGAUUAUUUAUUCUAAAUAAUCUUUUGUCGAAAAGUCGUUUUCGACCCCUAUUGCCUCUAAUUUGACUAGCCCAGAUUUGCGGGCGUUACAAUUAUCUCCCCCUUAGGAUGAUUACGUCCCGGAAUCAUCAACGAAACAGGGUCGUAUAAUGACUCCAUACGUCAUCUCUUCAUCCUAGGUAAUAAUUAUAACUUCUACAUUCCUUCGAUUCUAUCUCUUAAACUCAUUGACUGUAAGAGUACUCGAUCGUGCACCUGCUCUCUACCUCAGGUUAGACUCCAAAUUAUGACCUUCAAGUCACAAUCUCGAUCCUUGCUGGAUACGGACUUGAGAUAAGUUCUUUUAUUACUACUAUAGAUCGAUGUGUCAUAUUCUAAUGACCUAUCAUCGUAUGUUGCAACACUUAGACUUAGGUCUCUUAGAGUUAAAUUCUAAAACAGACUAUGCCUUCCUUCAUGUUCUAAUGUGAUAUAAUCACACUUUAACAUUAGGCAUUUCUAGCCACCAACUUCUUUAACAACGAGUGCGAUACUUCUAUUGAUCGCUUUGAUUUCAACCGUUUGGUUUAAGUCGGACGCUACAUCAAACUUGGUUCUCUGAACCACACAACAUACUCAUCGUAGUCGGACUCGAUUCGAUAUGACCACUAGGGUCGGAAUAUCAACAAUCUUCUUAGUCAUUACCGAAACGAUGGUAACAACACACUUGAAUAAAACGAAAUCAAUUACUAGCUUCUUGGUAACCUUGUGACUUUCCCUGAUCCAAGUGUGAGUCCUGUGCUUCCGGUAGUAUAGGCCUCUACUACCAUUCACACCUACUCAUACUCGUCCCAAGUAUUGUCUCGCAGUUUCCCAAGUCACCAUGCAGCAAAUCACACAAUCAUUCGACACAUCAGAUAACAAAACGAAGGUUUUAUAUUAAUUCUUGAAACGAUUACAUAGGUGUUCAAGUUCACCCUAGACUAUGCCUCUACUAGGCUACAUCAUACGAAACUAUGGCUACUGCAUAAUCCGAUCUUCGGGUAAGAAGUCCUCAUUCUUGAUUCCUCGCAUGGUUCUCUGCUUCGUCGAGGAUCAUGUGAAAUGCCCUUGGCCUUGGUGGCGUUUCUGGUCUUGCUGCUUUAUUUUUCCUUGGGCAGUCUCUGGACAUGUGCCCCUUGCCUCCACAUCCGUAGCAUACUUUGUCAUUAUGUGUGCAGUCUUUGGAAUAGUGACCCGUCCUCCCACACUUGUAACAAGUCACUUCUUCGUUGCACUUCCCACCAUGCUUCUUCUUGCAUUUAUCACACCAUCUUGUUUCACCUCCAUCUGCUCCUCCGAGUUUUGAGAAUUUGCUUUCCUUGUUCGACCUCGAAGAUCCCUCAAACUUUCGCUUCUCUCCUGCCUUAUCUUUUUCUAGACCCUUUUCUCUUAUCUGGGCCUCUACGUUCUUAGCUGCCCUAAUAGCUGCUUUUAAGGUAGUUGCCAUUUUGACCAUUGGACCAAAGUCAGUGGGCAGUCCGUUAGCAAACCUAUCAAUCUUGGAGAGUUCAGUAGGCACCAAGUAGGGAAAUAGCUUCAUCCUCUCGGUAAAUGCGGUGGCAUACUCAUCAACACUCAUCUUCCCUUUCUUCAGGUUCUGAAACUCGUUGUUUAGGUCUAUCAGAUCUACCUCCGAGCAGUACUGCAUUUUCAACUGUUCCAAAAACUCUUCCCACGACAUCCUUAAGGCUUCUCCUCGUGGCAUCGUAUCUGCCAAUAGCUUCCACCAGCUCAAGACUCCAGUUUUCAGCUGUCUUACUGCAAAGACAGUCUUCUGUUUCUCAUUACAGCUGCAGCUCUCAAACACCAUCUCCAUCUCAGAGAUCCAAUCCAUAACCUCAACCGGCUUUGGGCUUCCUGAGAGGCUUGGUGGUUUCGCACCCAAGAAGUUCUUGUACAUCCGCCCAUCCUUGUUGUUUCUCCCUUCUGGGCCAUCCCUUUGCUCACCUUGAGUCCCAACUUGACUCACUUGGCGGCUGUAGUUCCCUUCCUCAGAUUGCUCGGGAAUCAGUUCGGGUUGCUCAAUGGGCAUAGUAGGUUCGUCCCUAUUCAACAUCCGUCUCAUUUCUUCCCUUUGUUCAGCCAACAUAGCCCGAAUCAUGGCUUGAACUCCAGCCAUGGUGACUGGCUCAGGCGCAACUUCUUCUACAACAGGUAUUUGCUGAACCACUGGGGGUUGGUUCCUGUUCCCAUUUGCGUUUACGUUUCCGCUACGGGUCCUUACCAUCUCGAUCUAUACACCGAAUAAGGUGAAUUUAGACCUUUACUUGACGUUUAAAUCAUCCUUAUCACUCCGAAACAUUUACAUGCUAGUUCUAAUACCGUAGUCGUACGUUUAGAAUCCUAAACACAUAAGGUUUCCAGAUCCGGUCGGCAACAGACCAUAGAUCCGAACAAUUAACAACAUAUCAUGCACAAAGCAUUUAGCACAUAAAAGCAUUUUAGGCACAAUUCCUAAAAUAAGCUAGUGCUCACACCUCACAAUCAUCGCUUAGCAUUCUAAGUUUAAGUCUAGAAAUAAAUCCAUAUUCCUAGUUCGCUUAAACUAAUGCUCUGAUACCAACUGUGACAUCCCCAAAAUCACGGCCAGAAAAGACCGAUUUUGUUUAUGCUUUAUAAAAAUCAGAGUACUUCAUUUUAUAAAAAGGUUGCGGAAUUUGUUCCCAGAAAAACAUGGUAAAUACGUUAUUAAAACAUUUUCGAAGAAACGUAUUUAUUUCAUUUUAAAAUGUUUGGGAUGUCAUCGUUAAUACCGAAACAUAAGCAUAAACAGAAUUACAAUGAUUUACACUAGUGAUCUACAUCUCUUUUAAAUCUCUCAGUGUAAUGUCACUUCACUUCGUCACCUGUGAUAUACAUAAACUGAGUGGGUCAGGUUGGGAAACCUGGUGAGUACAUAGGGUUUUCAACCCACAAUAAUAUAAUUAUUAUGUUCAAUCAAACAAUCAACCCAAUUACCCAUCCCCAUUAUCUUCUUUACUCUUUAAGGAUUUAACCUAAGAGUCAUCUAUCCUGCAUUCGUUUAUUCCGAAGUCCCUUACUUCCAGGGUUAUGGGACUGGCACUAAAUCCAUAGCUGCCAAUGUUCGUUCAUAAAGCACUAAUUCCAUAGCUGCUAUAGUCUAUUCAUCGGGUACUAAAUCCAUAGCUACCAGUCUUUAUCUAAUAGGUACUAAGUCCAUAGCUACCAAUGUUCAACAGGUACUAAGUCCAUAGCUACCAAUUCCUACAGGUACUAAAUCCUUAGCUACCAGCGUCUAACUAAUAGGUACUAAGUCCAUAGCUACCAAUUCCCAACAGGUACUAAAUCCAUAGCUACCAACGUCUAAAAGGUACUAAGUCCAUAGCUACCGGUGUUUGUCCCAUAGGCACUAAGUCUAUAGCUGCCAAUGUAUACUCACGUCAUCUUCUAUCUCUCAUCAUUCAUCUACCCAUCUCAUACCCAACAUUUUCGUAUAUAUAAAAUACGUAUACAGUUUAAGUCCUUUAAAACAUGUAUAAAACGUUCAACCAGCAUAGACAGCAAGUAUUCAGAUAAUGUGCACACAUAGCACGUAGUUUAUAUAAAAUACUUCAUAUCUAUGUGUAAGAUGA
Molecule: long non-coding RNA, 5957 nt
Filed under: Lactuca sativa (garden lettuce)
Lineage: Eukaryota; Viridiplantae; Streptophyta; Magnoliopsida; Asterales; Asteraceae
Description: long non-coding RNA (LSAT_LNC001244)
Source: RNAcentral